Molecule: long non-coding RNA, 3656 nt
Organism: Camelus dromedarius (Arabian camel)
Lineage: Eukaryota; Metazoa; Chordata; Mammalia; Artiodactyla; Camelidae
Exons: 5
Source: RefSeq, a predicted model, not a curated record
GCGCCUGCGACCCGCCUUGCGGAAGGAUCCUAGCAGCCAACUAUGGCUACUGUCGCGGAGCAGCUGGGGCUGGUGGAGAUGGUACAGGCGCUCUAUGAGUUGAGCUUGGCGGCCCGCGCGGCCCGGGACCACACUGAGCCCCCGGGAAGUGGGACGUUUCGAGUGGGUUCAUGGUCGGAGGCCUGGGCGGUGCUGGCUAGGGUCACGCCCGGACUCUCGGCGUCGGUCGCUGGAAGGGCUCCCGGGGGCACACGCUUCCCGGCGACGGAGUAUAGGGAGAGGCUCGGGUGGGAGCCGGAAACGGGAGUCCGGUUUUGCGCUCUGGCGAACGCAGAGCCUUCUCUAAGUCCUGUCAGAUGCAGAGAGGCUGGUCAAGAACCAGAGUUGGGACUGACGGUAAAACGGGAUGGUGAAAAUAGAGUGGAAAAACCUCAAGUCCGCAGGGGUCCUAGGGAAGUAGGGUCCUUGGAACUGCGGAGCAGGUAACGGGAAAGAACUGUAAUGAGCUGGGGUUUGUUUUGGUCGGGAGCUGGAGUUCGAAUGGAAGACGAAUAAUUUAGGAAUGUGAAAGAAUUUGUCAUUCUUUCGCAUACGUCCCGUUUUCUAGCUUGUAAAGAUACCACUAUUUUAGUGAAUGUUUAAAGGAAGACUAGUUAGGAGGGUUUUUUUUUUGAAAGGCCAGCUAUUUCAGGUGUGUAAGAUAAUAUGAAAUCAAAAUAUCAGCAUUGGAGGAUGUUCAUUCAUUUGACAUUAGUGAAUUUCUCUGCUCUGUACAAUAGAACUUUCUGCGUGUUCUCUAUCUGAGCUGUUCAGUACAGUAGCUGCUAACCACAUGUGGCUAUUAAGUACUUGAAAUGUGGUUAGUGCAACUGAGGGCUGAAGUUUUUAUUUAACUUAGAUAUAUAUUUAAAUAGUUGAAUGGUGACUGGUGGCUACAGUAUUGGACAGCACAGGUCUAGAUGCUGGGAACAGUGCAGGGAACAAACAGGCAAAUGUCUCUGGACUUGUAGAACUUACAUUCAUUUAAAGUGAAUCUGUUUUCUUUUGAUAAUUUUUUUAAAGCUUAGUAUUGCUGUUUAUUGGCCGGGGUGAUGAUGCAAGACAUAUCAUUGGAAGACCUAUCAGGGCUUUUUGAAAAAACAGUUAAGAGAGCAAAUCUGGGGUUGUCCAACCUUAGGCUAAUUAAAAUGACUAAGAAGAGCCACUAAAAUUAAAGAUUUCUUUUUUUUUUUUUUUUUUAGAAAUGAGUAAUUUAUAUGUAUUGUUGCUGUCUUUUUGAAGACUGCCCUAUGGUUAUGUAACUUCUUAUACCCUGGUACUGACCAUGAGGGAGUCUUGAGAGAAUUUCUGCUGGAUGUAACAUUUCCUGGGGAAGAAAACAGGCUGCAUUUGUGAUUUUUAUUAGUUCACUGAACAUUUCAGCUUUUCUAAGGAUGAUUUUUCUGUGGAGUGGAAUGUUUAACUAGUGACUUGGACCUUUGUUUGCCCACUAGAAUCCAAUUAUUGAGAAAACCAAAAGGGUUUUUAGAGUCCUUAUUCUUGAAUUAUAUUCGGGAAGGAUCAGCAAUUUAAAAAAAUAAUCUUAGCUUUCUGUUCUUGCUUCUAAUUCCCGUACACCUUGUAUAUAGAAUUUGAAUAGUCUUGUUGUGUACCCAUACAUCUGUAACUUGAAUGUAGCUUGAAAUGUAUUUGUGCAUUGACCUGAAAGUUUAUAUAUGAAUUUGUCAGCAGUUUCCUUGUUCCUACUCUUGAGUGUUUUUUUUUUUAACUAUGGUGAAUCAUCAUCACUUUCUAUCUAAUGCUUGAAAAUAAUUUGUAAUUACAUUUCUAAAUACCUCUUUUAAGUGAUUUUCCAAUGACAACCUAUUGGAAUAUAGCACCCCAUAACUGACUGAUGGGGGGUUAGUUGAUACCUGGAAUCUUCCACAUGCACUUAUUGUGUCUAGUUGUAUAAAACAUAAAAGGCAGCCUGGCCUUUAUCCUGGAAUCGUACAGUUGAAAAGAAGACCUGACAUGGAUAAUUUCAUUAAGGAGGAUUUAAAGAGGCUUGUCAGGGAUCCAGAAGAUACAGUAAGAUGUGCAAAACUCUUUAAGAAUUGUGGAAACAGGUUUCCAGGCUCCUGCUUAUCAUCUUAUUUUGGAAGGAAUUUUAAUAUUCUGGAUAAUCAGACUUCUUUUUUCUAAAACUUACAAAUUACAAGAAUGAUCUGAUCUUACAGUCAAGGAAAAGGAAGAACUGAUUGAAGAGUGGCAGCCAGAGCCUCUUGUCCCUCCUGUCUCGAAAGACCAUCCUGCUCUCAACUACAGCAUCAUUUCAGGGAAUGAAGCAUUAUGCUGGAGAGGCUGUGGAGAAAGGGGAACCCUCCUACACUGCUGGUGGGAAUGCAGUUUGGUGCAGCCACUUGGAAAACAGUAUGGAGAUUCCUCAAGAGACUAGAAAUAGACUUAACGUAUGACCCAGGAAUCCCGCUCCUGGGCAUAUAUCCAGAAGGAGCCCUACUUCAGGAUGACACCUGCACCCCGAUGUUCAUAGCAGCACUAUCUUCAAUAGCCAAGACAUGGAAACAGCCUAAAUGUCCAUCAAUAGAUGAGUGAAUAAAGAAGAAGUGGUAUAUUUAUAUAAUGGAAUACUACUCGGCCAUAAAAAGCGACAACAUAACGCCAUUUGCAGCAACAUGGAUGCUCCUGGAGAAUGUCAUUCUAAGUGAACUGAGCCAGAAAGAAAGAAAAAUAUCACAUGAGAUCGCUCAUAUAUGGAAUCUAAAAAAAACAAAAACAAAAACAAAAACAAAAACGAACAAGCAAAGCAUAAAUACAAAACAGAAACAGACUCAUAGACAUAGACUACAAACUUGUGGUUGCCAAGGGGGUGAGGGGUGGGAAGGGAUACACGGGAUUUCAAAAUUGUAGAAUAGAUAAACAAGAUUAUACUGUAUAGCACAGGGAAAUAUACACAAGAUCUUAUGGUAGCUCACAGAGAAAAAAAUGUGACAAUGAAUAUAUAUACGUUCAUGGACAACUGAAAAACUGUGCUCUACGCUGGAAUUUGACACAACAUAAGAUGACUAUAAAUCAAUAAAAAAUGUUAAAAAAAAAAAAAAAAGAAAUGAAGCAUUACAAAUUACAGUCGACUCUUGAACAUCACGGGGCUUAGGGGCGCUGACCUGCAGUGCAGUCGAAAACCUGCGUGUAACUUAUAAUGAGUCCUCCAGACACACGGUUCCUCCAGGUAUGUGGUUCUGCAUCCACGGAUCCAGCCACCUGUGGAUGUAGUCCUGUAGCAUCACUAUUGAGAAAACUCUGUGUGUGAGUGGACCUGCGCAAUUCAAACCCAUGCUGCUCAGGGGUCACCUGUACAGUUGGAGAAACCCCCUCCCAUCUGUCACUUUCUUGCCACCCAGACGAGAGAGCCACUAGCUUGAAGUUGGUGGGUAUCUUUCUUUUGCUCAUGUUUGUGCUUUUACCACAUAGCCUAUUGCUGUGAAAGUACUGAGUAUUCUGUUUAAGAGUGUGUCCUCUUACUUCCGGUCUGAUCUAAGAGAGGCUUGUAUUCUUCAUUUGCGUGAAUAUCUCUGGUCUUAUGAAAGUUUUACUUGUUCUGAAAUCAAACUUACCAAUCAUUAAUGUUAAGGGAAUGAAAACUUUCCUACCACAAA